This 427-nucleotide ribosomal RNA is filed under the name uncultured prokaryote. Its description in RNAcentral is "bacterial SSU rRNA". It matches the Rfam family "Bacterial small subunit ribosomal RNA", at positions 355 to 774 of the family's 1533-position model. The record is from RNAcentral.
UGGGGAAUUUUGCGCAAUGGGCGAAAGCCUGACGCAGCAACGCCGCGUGGGUGAUGAAGGUCUUCGGAUCGUAAAACCCUGUCGUCAGGGACGAAGGUCAGGAGUUGAAUAGGCUCUUGGCUUGACGGUACCUGGAGAGGAAGCCCCGGCUAACUCUGUGCCAGCAGCCGCGGUAAUACAGAGGGGGCAAGCGUUAUUCGGAAUUACUGGGCAUAAAGGGCGUGCAGGCGGGAGAGCAAGUCUGAUGUGAAAGCCCGGGGCUUAACCCCGGAAGGGCAUUGGAAACUGCUUUUCUUGAGUUCUGGAGAGGAAGGGAGAAUUCCCGGUGUAGAGGUGAAAUUCGUAGAGAUCGGGAGGAACAUCAGUUGCGAAGGCGCCCUUCUGGACAGCAACUGACGCUGAGACGCGAAAGCGUGGGGAGCAAACA